Molecule: long non-coding RNA, 1219 nt
Organism: Cyprinus carpio carpio
Lineage: Eukaryota; Metazoa; Chordata; Actinopteri; Cypriniformes; Cyprinidae
Source: Ensembl
ACAAAUUUGAACAAGCCCAUUUAAUUAUGACUGCAGAAAGGGUUAGUUACAUUACAUUACAUUUACAUUACCUUUAGUCAUUUAGCAGAUGCUUUUAUACAAAGCGACUUACAAAUUAGGACAAUGGAAGCAAUUUUUUCUUCCAAAUGGAUAGAAUAAAAAAAAAGAUUAUAGAAGCUAGAGUAAGGAUUUUUUUUCUUUUGUUUUUUUAAGAAAACAAGCAAUUUGUAAAUGAAUAGAGUGCAAGUCUAAAAAUGGCAGGGAUUUAUUUAUUUUUUCUUGAAGAUGGCUAAGGACUGCUCAGAUUGAGAAAUAACAGCCUGUAAGUACAUGCUUUAUAUUUAAAGAAUUUGCCACUUAUGAUUCAAUCGCAAGUUUUAUACAGUGUAGAGUAAAACUUGUUUGUCGUUUCUCAGAUCACAAAUGCAGACAUGGUUUUAUGUUUUUGCAGCGCGAUACGCAAUGCAACGUGUAAAAGCACAGUAUAAGACAUUCUAAUCAGUAAUUAUGUCCCCACUGGAUGCAACAAAUGCCUCGUUUGUAAUGGGUUUUACUGCAUCACAGUAUGUUAAGGGACGUAACAUUUCCGUCACAAGCUUGAGGUAUACUUCGCUUUUCAGAAUGAUGAGCUUUGUAAAAAUCAAUGUGUUUCAGAAAGGCGAGGCAUAGAGGAGCAACAAUAAUGUGGAAAAUAAUGUGAUUUUGAACCUUAAACCGCAUAAACACGUUGCAUUACACCAAAACACCACAUAAUGUUCUUUUUAGCAACGUCAUAUGACCCCUUUCAAGACACUUUAUUUAUAAGUCAAGUUCAUUUUUGAUUGUUUCAUCUGAUUGUUUUAUUUAAAAAUUACACUUGCAUAAAUCUCUUUGAAUUUCAAUGUAUCUUCAUUGUUUACUACCACAAUUUAAAUUCAGAAAUUGAAUUCUAAUAUAAAAGGCAGUUACACUUUAUUUUAAGGUGUGUAAUUACAUGCAACAAAGAAAUUGUUAGGGACGGUGUGAUAAUGGAGUAGGGGCUUCUAAAUGCAAGUUUUAUUACAGAGCGUAGUCGAAACAGGCAGGGUCAAACACCAGCAAACAACAAUAUCCAAUGGCAAGACAAAAGAGUAAUCCAAGAAACAGACAAAGGUCAGGGCAGGCAGCAAACGAUCACAACACAAGGAAAACGUCCAAAGAAAAAAAAAAACACACUGGCAUGGCAAGGCAAGGCAAGAGG